Molecule: microRNA, 22 nt
Filed under: Macaca mulatta (Rhesus monkey)
Lineage: Eukaryota; Metazoa; Chordata; Mammalia; Primates; Cercopithecidae
Also listed under: 3 other names
Description: microRNA mir-220
Source: RNAcentral
CCACCACCAUGUCUGACACUUU